This 402-nucleotide ribosomal RNA is filed under the name Fusobacteriota bacterium. Its description in RNAcentral is "Fusobacteria bacterium partial 16S ribosomal RNA". It matches the Rfam family "Bacterial small subunit ribosomal RNA", at positions 355 to 776 of the family's 1533-position model. The record is from RNAcentral. Lineage: Bacteria; Fusobacteriati; Fusobacteriota.
UGGGGAAUAUUGCACAAUGGAGGAACUCUGAUGCAGCGACGCCGCGUGAACGAAGAAGGCUUUCGAGUCGUAAAGUUCUUUUAUAUGGGAAGAUAAUGACGGUACCAUAAGAAAAAGCCCCGGCUAACUACGUGCCAGCAGCCGCGGUAAUACGUAGGGGGCUAGCGUUGUCCGGAAUCACUGGGCGUAAAGGGUUCGCAGGCGGAAAUGCAAGUCAGGUGUAAAAGGCAGUAGCUUAACUACUGUAAGCAUUUGAAACUGCAUAUCUUGAGAAGAGUAGAGGUAAGUGGAAUUUUUAGUGUAGCGGUGAAAUGCGUAGAUAUUAAAAAGAAUACCGGUGGCGAAGGCGACUUACUGGGCUCAUUCUGACGCUGAGGAACGAAAGCGUGGGUAGCAAACAGG